Molecule: ribosomal RNA, 253 nt
Filed under: uncultured bacterium
Lineage: Bacteria
Description: partial 16S ribosomal RNA
Rfam family: Bacterial small subunit ribosomal RNA
Source: RNAcentral
UACGUAUGGUGCAAGCGUUAUCCGGAUUUACUGGGCGUAAAGGGAGCGCAGGCGGUGCGCCAAGUCUGAUGUGAAACCCCGGGGCUCAACCCCGGGCAUGCAUUGGAAACUGGCGGGCUGGAGUGCCGGAGAGGUAAGCGGAAUUCCUAGUGUAGCGGUGAAAUGCGUAGAUAUUAGGAGGAACACCAGUGGCGAAGGCGGCCUGCUGGACGAUGACUGACGUUGAGGCUCGAAAGCGUGGGGAGCAAACAGG